AUCAAAAUGCAGUUUAUCACAUCUGACAUCACAUAAAUAUCAGCUUAAACGAGACUGAAUCUCCUAACCACGUUUUAAACCAUAUAAACAAAGUAGUACAGGAGAGGAAAUAAACCUGGAUGCUCAAAAUUUUAAUUAAUUUUAGGGGCAGAAAUACAAGGGACUUUGGCAGUGAAAAUUCGAAUCACGCAGCUGCCAAGCAAAAUCAACCAACAACCUCGAACGAGCCUCGAUCGGAACUCGAAUGGACAAACGACUCACUCGAACUCCAUACUUGAAACCAGAAAUCCAGAGCAAAAUAAAAUGGAGGAUUAAAGGUGCAAGAGAAAUCUAACCACUAUGUCUCUUUUGUAUCCCUUUUUAUUUUUCGGGAAUUAAAGCUAAAAGAAAAUCCAAAAUGAAGGUUCUGUAUCAAUCAAACGAACACGAAAAAUCAGUUGACAAAAUCGAGAUCAUAAAUCUCACUCUCUUGACCCUUUUCUCUCCAUCCUCUCUCUGAAAAAUCCUCCAAAGUUCUCUCUACUUAUCAGGCACCAACCUGAUGAAUGAAGGGCUGGGAUCGAUUGAAAUCGAUCCCGCGCUCCACAUUCAUCUAGCAUGUGCCUCCUAGAGGCUUCCAACACGUGAGAAAUAGGGGUGUUCAUUGGGCGGAUUGGGCGGCUUUUUACUCUAACGGUUUGGCUUAACGGUU
This 691-nucleotide long non-coding RNA is filed under the name Nicotiana benthamiana. RNAcentral's name for it is "long non-coding RNA (NBEN_LNC038246)". The record is from RNAcentral. Lineage: Eukaryota; Viridiplantae; Streptophyta; Magnoliopsida; Solanales; Solanaceae.